CAGUCGAGCGGAACGACUUAACUGAACCUUCGGGGAACGUUAAGGGCGUCGAGCGGCGGACGGGUGAGUAAUGCCUGGGAAAUUGCCCUGAUGUGGGGGAUAACCAUUGGAAACGAUGGCUAAUACCGCAUAAUAGCUUCGGCUCAAAGAGGGGGACCUUCGGGCCUCUCGCGUCAGGAUAUGCCCAGGUGGGAUUAGCUAGUUGGUGAGGUAAGGGCUCACCAAGGCGACGAUCCCUAGCUGGUCUGAGAGGAUGAUCAGCCACACUGGAACUGAGACACGGUCCAGACUCCUACGGGAGGCAGCAGUGGGGAAUAUUGCACAAUGGGCGCAAGCCUGAUGCAGCCAUGCCGCGUGUAUGAAGAAGGCCUUCGGGUUGUAAAGUACUUUCAGCAGUGAGGAAGGUGGAUGCGUUAAUAGCGUAUUCAUUUGACGUUAGCUGCAGAAGAAGCACCGGCUAACUCCGUGCCAGCAGCCGCGGUAAUACGGAGGGUGCGAGCGUUAAUCGGAAUUACUGGGCGUAAAGCGCAUGCAGGUGGUUUGUUAAGUCAGAUGUG
RNAcentral lists this ribosomal RNA (557 nucleotides) under Vibrionales bacterium FWMR077. RNAcentral describes it as "bacterial SSU rRNA". It matches the Rfam family "Bacterial small subunit ribosomal RNA", at positions 59 to 596 of the family's 1533-position model. The record is from RNAcentral. Lineage: Bacteria; Pseudomonadati; Pseudomonadota; Gammaproteobacteria; Vibrionales. RNAcentral also lists the same sequence under 2 other names.